AACGCUAGCUACAGGCUUAACACAUGCAAGUCGCGGGGCAGCAUGAAUUUAGCUUGCUAAAUUUGAUGGCGACCGGCGCACGGGUGAGUAACGCGUAUCCAACCUUCCCCUGUCCACGGGAUAGCCCGUCGAAAGGCGGAUUAAUACCGUAUGAGGUCACACGACGGCAUCAGAGUGUGACGAAAGGUUUGGCGGACAGGGAUGGGGAUGCGUCCGAUUAGCUUGUUGGCGGGGUAACGGCCCACCAAGGCUACGAUCGGUAGGGGUUCUGAGAGGAAGGUCCCCCACAUUGGAACUGAGACACGGUCCAAACUCCUACGGGAGGCAGCAGUGAGGAAUAUUGGUCAAUGGGCGAGAGCCUGAACCAGCCAAGUAGCGUGCAGGAUGACGGCCCUAUGGGUUGUAAACUGCUUUUAUGCGGGGAUAACGUGCACCACGUGUGGUGUAUUGCAGGUACCGCAUGAAUAAGGACCGGCUAAUUCCGUGCCAGCAGCCGCGGUAAUACGGAAGGUCCGGGCGUUAUCCGGAUUUAUUGGGUUUAAAGGGAGCGUAGGCCGCUGUUUAAGCGUGUUGUGAAAAACCGGGGCUCAACUCCGGUCGUGCAGCGCGAACUGGACGGCUUGAGUGCGCGGUAAGUGGGCGGAAUUUGUGGUGUAGCGGUGAAAUGCUUAGAUAUCACGAAGAACUCCGAUUG
This 694-nucleotide ribosomal RNA is filed under the name uncultured Bacteroidales bacterium. RNAcentral's name for it is "bacterial SSU rRNA". It matches the Rfam family "Bacterial small subunit ribosomal RNA", at positions 32 to 715 of the family's 1533-position model. The record is from RNAcentral. Lineage: Bacteria; Pseudomonadati; Bacteroidota; Bacteroidia; Bacteroidales.